RNAcentral lists this long non-coding RNA (1226 nucleotides) under Octopus sinensis (East Asian common octopus). Its description in RNAcentral is "uncharacterized LOC118763613, transcript variant X2". Lineage: Eukaryota; Metazoa; Mollusca; Cephalopoda; Octopoda; Octopodidae. The record is from RNAcentral.
UUGAAGAGAAGUGUUACAUCAUGCAAAGAAAAUAACAACUACAGGAUACGACGAAAGAAUUUUCAAGAGAAAGGUGUCCAUCGUCUUACCGCCCCAGAAAAUAUAAAUAAAUGCGGAAGGAAAGAAAAAUUUGAGGGGACUGGAUAUGUACAGAGUAACACAAAAAAAUAACGUAAACUGAUAACGAAAUGAUGUAGAAAACGAAAGGAAAAUGACAAGUAUUAAUAUUAUAAUACAAUAUAGAGGAAAUUAAAUUAAAACAAAAACAAUGAAGGGGAACACCAGCCCGGGAAAGGAAUUAAUAUUGAAAAAAAAUAUAUAUAUAUUUUUGGGAGCGACGUUUUACAGUUAUAAUAUACGUAUAUAUAUAUAUAUAAGUAUGUUCUGAAAAAUAUUGGUACGAAACCACGAAGUGUUGAAAAUCCCAGGAAGCUCGCAUUGAUAUGUUCACGAACACCUUGUUUCCUGGUUUCUCUGCACUCUCCGCAGCAUGCUUGAUGAGAAGAGGCCCUGUAAGGGAGAUCCAUUAUGAUUCUCUCACAGUGAAGCAUAAUCGUUUCUGGGAGUACGAGAAGGAAAGUAAAAGAGUCGCAACUGGACAAUGUGGUGCUGGACUACCCCAUUAGAAGCAUAGAAGUAUGUCGUUUGCCAUAACAUAUCAUACAUAUCUAUCGCCUAGUGGAUGAAAUAGAUUUCAUUUCCGUAAAACAACAAACUGACCAGUCAACGAGCUGACCAAUCAAGGAAGGACACUACGUAGUCGUUCAACCAGCUAGAAAUAGCAAGCGCUCCUAUCUCAAAUCACAAAUCCGUCUUAAAUGAAGGAAGAACUGAAUAUUAUAAUCGCUGAUGCACAGAAACAAGAUCGGAGUAGAUCACACUUGGAAUGAUAUUGGCUGUUAACGAAUAACAAGCAAGUGCUCUAUAUAAUUUAUACUAAACUUGAAACUUGUAGGGUAUCUUCAUAGCGAUGUUCAAGUUGUCUAAGUGUAAUUCUUCUUGCCAUUCAGAAUUAUUCCCUCUCCUUCCUCUCUCUCUCUCUCUCUCUCUCUCCUUCACUUUCUCUCUCUCUCUAAACUAACAGAGAUUAAACAUAAAUUAAUGGAUAAAUCUCCAAAGGUAAGUCAAAGAAUGAACUCAUUUUAUUAUACUAAGAGUAUAGCACACAUGCGUUUACUUCUAUAAAUACAAUAUGCAUACAAAUAUACAAUAAGUAUACAACGCAG